RNAcentral lists this antisense RNA (594 nucleotides) under Lentzea albidocapillata. RNAcentral's name for it is "Saccharopolyspora sRNA 389". It matches the Rfam family "Saccharopolyspora sRNA 389". The record is from Rfam by way of RNAcentral. Lineage: Bacteria; Bacillati; Actinomycetota; Actinomycetes; Pseudonocardiales; Pseudonocardiaceae.
ACCAGGGCGGUGCUGGUGCGAUGCAGAAAGUCCUGCCGCGCGUGACGGAUCUUUCGAUGUGCGCGCGCGACCCUGACCUUCGCCUUGAGGCGAUUGCUGCUGCCAGGACGACAACGAGCCAAUCUACGUUGAUAGCGCGCCAAGUUGCGGGCCUUGCGCGCCAGGUGCUGAGGGGCGGCUAUGCGCUCGUUGUCGCUCGUCACGAGGAAGUUGGUGAGUCCAAGGUCGACACCAACUCCGUGGCUGACCGGCUCAGCCGGAGCAGGUGUUUCGGCGUCAACGGCAAAGGUCACGUACCAGCGACCGUCCGGCUCUCGAGAGACGACCACCAUCGUGGGGUCGAGCGUGGCCACUUCCACUCUUGCGAACGACCAGGUGAACCGCAGCGGCACAUCGGUUUUUGCCAGCGUCACCACGCCAUCGCGCAUCCGAAACGCCGAGCGCGUGUAGUGCGCGCUCUGGUAUCCGGUGCGGGACUUGAAUCUGGGGUAACGAGAUCGCCCGGAGAAGAAGUGAAGGAACGCGGAGUGCUGAUGCCGCAAUGUCUGCUGCAGUGGUACAGAGGACACCUCCGACAGGAAGGCGAGUUCAUCG